This 494-nucleotide ribosomal RNA is filed under the name uncultured bacterium. RNAcentral describes it as "partial 16S ribosomal RNA". It matches the Rfam family "Bacterial small subunit ribosomal RNA", at positions 28 to 507 of the family's 1533-position model. The record is from RNAcentral.
GACGAACGCUGGCGGCGUGCUUAACACAUGCAAGUCGAACGGUGAAGCGCCUUCCUUUUUGGUGGGUGUGGAUGAGUGGCGAACGGGUGAGUAACACGUGAGUAACCUGCCCCCUUCUUCUGGAUAACCGCAUGAAAGUGUGGCUAAUACGGGAUAUUCUGGGUCUGUCGCAUGAUGGGUCUGGGAAAGAUAUUGUUUCGGUGGGGGAUGGGCUCGCGGCCUAUCAGCUUGUUGGUGGGGUGAUGGCCUACCAAGGCGGUGACGGGUAGCCGGCCUGAGAGGGUGGACGGUCACACUGGGACUGAGACACGGCCCAGACUCCUACGGGAGGCAGCAGUGGGGAAUAUUGCUCAAUGGGCGCAAGCCUGAUGCAGCGACGCCGCGUGAGGGAUGGAGGCCUUCGGGUUGUGAACCUCUUUCGCCAGUGAAGCAGGCCUGCCUCGUUUGUGGGUGGGUUGACGGUAGCUGGAGAAGAAGCGCCGGCUAACUACGUG